UGUGAACUUAACCACCAUGCCUCCGGGCCAGCCCCAAAGGGUCAGUUCUUUAAAUGAUGAGGCCACACAAUAAUGUUCCUUGGAGAAAUAGAACUGCCUGAUGCCUCAGCCCUGGAAUAACUUUCAGUUGCUUCCCACAUUUGGUUUUUGCAAGUUACAUCUAUGCAAAGGAGUCAGUCCACAAGUUUUAAAUCUCCUCACUGUGGAGAGCAGUAUUCAGAGCCUGGGCAGAAAGAUCAUAGGAUGAUCUUGGUUCUGCCUGUGGAAACUCCCUCACUCACCUCCAAGACGAAGUGGAAUGGCUUCAGGAAAAUGUCGUUGCUAAAUUCUGUAUUUUUCACAAGUUAUCUGUUCUAAUCCCACCUCUUCCCUGCAGGAGCCGUAUGAUUGUGUCCUUAAUUGGCAACGUAGAAGAGUCACUAGCUACUUGUUAAGGAGUACAUUCUUGAAUUCUUUGUUACUCAAGAAUCUAUUAAAAGCUCAGCUAAGAGAAACAAUGUCCGUGGAUGAUUUAGGAAAGAUCAUUCCUUCCUAUUUUGUUCCCACUGUAUUCCCAGCAUCUCUGUCUGGCAAGUUGUAGGUAAUCCACAAUAUUUGUUACUUGAAUGAAUGCAUGAAAUUUAUCACUGGAUUAAGUCUUUCAAAUGCUAAGAGAUGUAUUUCCAGAAUAUUGUUUUAUCCCCUACAGAAUUGUUGCCUCUGAAUUGUAUUUGAUAUGAAACCCUAGGAUUGUAUUGAGAAUUUCUUUAUUAAUCCUACUAUAGAACUUGUGUUAUUAGAAUAUACACUCUUUCCUUUAUGAAGCACCUCAAUAAUGUUUCCUUUUUGGUCCAAGUAUGAGAAAUAGUCUUGCUCAUCUCGA
This is a long non-coding RNA of Equus caballus (horse), 862 nucleotides long. RefSeq lists it as uncharacterized. NCBI's taxonomy places the organism in Eukaryota, Metazoa, Chordata, Mammalia, Perissodactyla, Equidae. The record is from RefSeq and is a predicted model, not a curated record.